UUCAUAGUAGUUUAUUUUAAAACAUUACUUUUUCAGGGUAAAGAUGAGGCAUUAUCCUAAGAAU
Molecule: transfer RNA, 64 nt
Filed under: Megalothorax incertus
Lineage: Eukaryota; Metazoa; Arthropoda; Collembola; Neelipleona; Neelidae
Description: tRNA-Glu
Source: RNAcentral